RNAcentral lists this ribosomal RNA (410 nucleotides) under uncultured freshwater bacterium. RNAcentral's name for it is "bacterial SSU rRNA". It matches the Rfam family "Bacterial small subunit ribosomal RNA", at positions 958 to 1380 of the family's 1533-position model. The record is from RNAcentral.
AACGCGAAGAACCUUACCAAGGCUUGACAUAUACAGGAAUAUGGCAGAGAUGUCAUAGCCGCAAGGUCUGUAUACAGGUGGUGCAUGGUUGUCGUCAGCUCGUGUCGUGAGAUGUUGGGUUAAGUCCCGCAACGAGCGCAACCCUUGUUUCUAGUUGGCUUUUAGCACCCUAGAGAGACUGCCGAUUAUAAAUCGGAGGAAGGUGAGGAUGACGUCAAGUCAUCAUGCCCCUUACGUCCUGGGCUACACACGUGCUACAAUGGAUGUGACAAAAAGUUGCCAAUUCGCGAGAACGAGCUAAUCUCUAAACACAUCCUUAGUUCAGAUUGUAGGCUGCAACUCGCCUACAUGAAGGUGGAAUCGCUAGUAAUCGCAGGUCAGCUAUACUGCGGUGAAUCCGUUCCCGGGUC